This 468-nucleotide ribosomal RNA is filed under the name uncultured bacterium. RNAcentral describes it as "partial 16S ribosomal RNA". It matches the Rfam family "Bacterial small subunit ribosomal RNA", at positions 28 to 507 of the family's 1533-position model. The record is from RNAcentral.
GACGAACGCUGGCGGCGUGCUUAACACAUGCAAGUCGAACGGAAAGGCCCUGCUUUUGUGGGGUGCUCGAGUGGCGAACGGGUGAGUAACACGUGAGUAACCUGCCCUUGACUUUGGGAUAACGUCAGGAAACUGGGGCUAAUACCGGAUAGGAGCUCCUGCUGCAUGGUGGGGGUUGGAAAGUUUCGGCGGUUGGGGAUGGACUCGCGGCUUAUCAGCUUGUUGGUGGGGUAGUGGCUUACCAAGGCUUUGACGGGUAGCCGGCCUGAGAGGGUGACCGGCCACAGUGGGACUGAGAUACGGCCGAGAGUCGUACGGGAGGCAGCAGUGGGGAAUAUUGCACAAUGGGCGGAAGCCUGAUGCAGCAACGCCGCGUGCGGGAUGACGGCCUUCGGGUUGUAAACCGCUUUCGCCUGUGACGAAGCGUGAGUGACGGUAAUGGGUAAAGAAGCACCGGCUAACUACGUG